RNAcentral lists this ribosomal RNA (466 nucleotides) under uncultured bacterium. RNAcentral's name for it is "bacterial SSU rRNA". It matches the Rfam family "Bacterial small subunit ribosomal RNA", at positions 337 to 795 of the family's 1533-position model. The record is from RNAcentral.
GCCUACGGGAGGCAGCAGUGGGGAAUUUUGGACAAUGGGGGAAACCCUGAUCCAGCCAUGCCGCGUGCGGGAAGAAGGCCUUCGGGUUGUAAACCGCUUUUAGCCGGGACGAAAGCGCCACGGAUAACACCCGUGGCGGUUGACGGUACCGGCGGAAUAAGCACCGGCUAACUACGUGCCAGCAGCCGCGGUAAUACGUAGGGUGCGAGCGUUAAUCGGAAUUACUGGGCGUAAAGCGUGCGCAGGCGGUGCGUUGUGUCGGUGGUGAAAUCCCCGGGCUUAACCUGGGAACUGCCAUCGAAACUGGCGUACUAGAGUGUGGCAGAGGGGGGUGGAAUUCCGCGUGUAGCAGUGAAAUGCGUAGAUAUGCGGAGGAACACCGAUGGCGAAGGCAGCCCCCUGGGCUAACACUGACGCUCAUGCACGAAAGCGUGGGGAGCAAACAGGAUUAGAUACCCGUGUAGUC